This 253-nucleotide ribosomal RNA is filed under the name uncultured Actinomycetales bacterium. RNAcentral's name for it is "partial 16S ribosomal RNA". It matches the Rfam family "Bacterial small subunit ribosomal RNA", at positions 80 to 334 of the family's 1533-position model. Lineage: Bacteria; Bacillati; Actinomycetota; Actinomycetes; Actinomycetales. The record is from RNAcentral.
UUGUGGGGUGCUCGAGUGGCGAACGGGUGAGUAACACGUGAGUAACCUGCCCUUGACUUUGGGAUAACUUCGGGAAACUGGGGCUAAUACCGGAUAGGAGCUCCUGCUGCAUGGUGGGGGUUGGAAAGUUUCGGCGGUUGGGGAUGGACUCGCGGCUUAUCAGCUUGUUGGUGGGGUAGUGGCUUACCAAGGCUUUGACGGGUAGCCGGCCUGAGAGGGUGACCGGCCACAUUGGGACUGAGAUACGGCCCAG